GGAUGUGAUCAUACCAGCACUAAAGCACUGGAUCCCAUCAGAACUCCGAAGUUAAGCGGGCUUGGGCGAGAGUACUACUAGGAUGGGUGUGUUGCAUUCC
Triticum urartu is the source of this 100-nucleotide non-coding RNA. The record is from Rfam. Lineage: Eukaryota; Viridiplantae; Streptophyta; Magnoliopsida; Poales; Poaceae.